GGAAAUGUGGAAUACACCACAACUGUGAUUUUAUUUAUUUUUGGGUUAUGCCACAUGUAAAUUAUGGUGAUGUAGAAUUAUCCUUUUUUUCUUUUUUCUUUUUUAGUUUUUGCUAGGUUAGGACUAUGAUGAUAAAUUUAUUAUGAUGUAUUUAUUGAAAAUAUUCUUUAAUUGUUGUGUGAUUACAAUGUGGUGUAGUAAAUAAAAUUUGUGGUGGUAGCCAAAUGUGAAACCUCUCUGUAUCUAUUUCUUCCCGGCCCAAAAAUGGGAAAAUCCAAUCCCGCCACCCACUAUAGGUAGCGCCACCGCUGUUGGGUCACACCACCGUUUACUUCAUCUCUACCCCUCUCAACCUCUCUCUUUUCUCCUCACAUCCCCACCGACCGUCUGCCCCCUUUCUCUUCCCUCCAAUAAAGAGCUAUUAUUUUAUAGCAAUUUCCUUUCAGUACUAUGGAAGCAUAUCACAACAGCAAGUUCAGAGUCGGAGCUAGAGAUUUGAACAUCGCUGCCACUCAAUUUCCUCGAGUGGAGGUCGGAUUUUUUAGAUCCACGGUGGGAAAUUGCGUCAUUCUUGGAGCCUCCUGUUAAAACAUCGAGCUCAACUGAUGAAGGACCAGCAGCAAUCAGGACUAACUAAUGGGAAUUGGAUCAACAGGAAGAAAGCAAUAGCUUGGAAGAUACGAACGCGAACAAAUGAUGGAAGAAUUCUGCAAGUGGAUCGAACAUGACCAUUUUCUGUUAGAAUAUUUAUGGUCAUAUGAUUCAUUUUCAAAUAGUCAAUUAGUUUGUAUAGCAAAUGGCAUAGAUUUCUCUUUGUCUAGAUUCUUC
RNAcentral lists this long non-coding RNA (828 nucleotides) under Olea europaea subsp. europaea. Lineage: Eukaryota; Viridiplantae; Streptophyta; Magnoliopsida; Lamiales; Oleaceae. The record is from RNAcentral.